Potamilus streckersoni is the source of this 77-nucleotide non-coding RNA. The record is from the annotation of a GenBank genome assembly. Lineage: Eukaryota; Metazoa; Mollusca; Bivalvia; Unionida; Unionidae.
GACCGUUCUUGUGGCAUAGUUGUUAGAGCGGCCGUCUCGGAUGCGGGAUGUCGCGGGUUCAAAUCCCUUCAGAGUCA